RNAcentral lists this ribosomal RNA (492 nucleotides) under uncultured bacterium. RNAcentral describes it as "partial 16S ribosomal RNA". It matches the Rfam family "Bacterial small subunit ribosomal RNA", at positions 29 to 507 of the family's 1533-position model. The record is from RNAcentral.
AGUGAACGCUGGCGGUAGGCCUAACACAUGCAAGUCGAACGGCAGCACAGUAAGAGCUUGCUCUUACGGGUGGCGAGUGGCGGACGGGUGAGGAAUACAUCGGAAUCUACUUUUUCGUGGGGGAUAACGUAGGGAAACUUACGCUAAUACCGCAUACGACCUACGGGUGAAAGCAGGGGAUCUUCGGACCUUGCGCGAUUGAAUGAGCCGAUGUCGGAUUAGCUAGUUGGCGGGGUAAAGGCCCACCAAGGCGACGAUCCGUAGCUGGUCUGAGAGGAUGAUCAGCCACACUGGAACUGGAACACGGUCCAGACUCCUACGGGAGGCAGCAGUGGGGAAUAUUGGACAAUGGGCGCAAGCCUGCUCCAGCCAUACCGCGUGGGUGAAGAAGGCCUUCGGGUUGUAAAGCCCUUUUGUUGGGAAAGAAAAGCAGCAGGUUAAUACCCCGCUGUUCUGACGGUACCCAAAGAAUAAGCACCGGCUAACUUCGUG